Triticum dicoccoides is the source of this 3917-nucleotide long non-coding RNA. RefSeq lists it as uncharacterized. The record is from RefSeq and is a predicted model, not a curated record. NCBI's taxonomy places the organism in Eukaryota, Viridiplantae, Streptophyta, Magnoliopsida, Poales, Poaceae. The transcript has 2 exons.
CGCUUUUCUAACAUAUUCCUGGCAAACUUAUUAGCACAACAUUUCCUUGUUGUAUUGGCAAAUCUAGCCCUGAUGUUAAUUCCGCUUUAUACUAUAUUGUGUAGCGUAGCCUUUCAACAUUUGCAUUUUAUGAGAAUAUUGUGGACACUUGAUUUUUAGUUACAUUAUUUUAGUUUCUAAUAUGUUGACACAGAGAGAGAAUAAGCCGUAACACGAGUGGGGUGUUGUGUUCAAAUGGAGGAUGUAGAAAUAGAGGACGUAGACAUGUGUGUGUGGGUGGAGCAAAUGGGCAGGGUUUUGGGUCGUUUUAUUGUGUUUUCUCCCGUUACAACACAUGGGCAUAUUUGAGAAGAACUAUUGCUCCACGGAGAAGAAUGUGCGGCGAAUUUUCCUUUGCAAAUAUUUUUUUGAUGAUAAGGAUUUCUUUUCUCCCGUUGCAACGCACGGGUCCUUUUGCUAGUAAUAAUAAAGCACGGAUUGAGUCUCCGGGUUCACCAUCGCGGCGUUUUUUCAAAAACGUCUCUGUGAUUUAGGGUAAUACAACCCGCAGUCCACGAUUAAGUGAAAAAUGUUUCGUUCGGCAUGUUUUUCAGAAAAACACCUCAUAUUUUACAUAAUCAGCCCGCAGUCCACGAUUAAGUGAAAGACGUUUCGUUCGGCAUGUUUUUCAGAAAAACAUCUCAUAUUUUACAUAAUCAGCCCGCAGUCCAUCAACAUCUGUUCCGAGCGAGAUGGGGUCACGAUCCAGACAACGCUGGGCGCGGUGGCGGCGAUCUCCGGCCAGAUCCGGUCGAGGAGUCGAGGCAGGUCCGGAUCCUGUUCAGGGGACGGUGUGGAGGCGAUCUACGAAGCGCGGGAGGAGGUCAGGCGGCGGGGCUUGAACUCCAAGUUCAUGGCGGCGGCGUUCCUCACCGGUUCCGACCGAGAUGGGGAGCUCUGGCGGAGUCUCUCCAUGGAUACGGUGGCCCUGCACCUGUGAGGGACAGAGGGGAGGAGAGGACGCGAGAAGCGGCGUGAAAGUUCUGGUGGUGCCCGUCUCCUGCAACAGCUCUCUUGAGUACGGUCAGAGAGAGAGAGAUGAGAGAGAGCCGGGAGGAAGAAGGAAAGGAAGGAGACUUCAGGAAGGAGCGGCGGGAUCCUGCGGGGGUGGGUUGGAGCCCCGGUGGUAGCUUGCUCCGGUGGUGCUACUGCUGCUGUUGGACGGCAGCCGAUGGGACAAGGCCUAGGUAAGAGGAAAAACAUGUGCUGCAUUGACACAUUUGAUGCAGAGCAGCCACUGUAAGUUCCUCUCCCUUCUCUAAUUAGUAUUGAGAUUCCAUUGAUAUUUGAUGGAGAGCAGCCACCAAAAGUUCCUCUUUUGAUGCACCGAAAACAUCUCUCUCUAAUUUAUUCUCAGCUACAAAAUGACAUGUAUCUAUGCUACUUACUAAUGUGAUGGAUAAUGCAUGUGGAUUGAUUCAUGAAUUAGCAAAAUAUUUCAUUUGAGAUGUGCUAGAGAACGGUUUUGAUCUAACUGAAUAAUACGAAGUAUUUUAGUUUUGAUGGUGAUAGACGAGCAACUUUAGUUGUAUUUGGUUUCAGUUUUUGUUUUCAGUAUAUGUUGGUCAGGAUUCAACUUUGUUUAUGUCCAUGUUUUGCUGGUAUAAUGCAUCAUCAAGCUUUCUUUUUGUAUGAUGAUAUUGUGUAAAUCAGCAUAUGGAUGUGGAAAAUAUUCUUAGCGGCAUUAGCCUAGACAAGGAUGUUGAUGGUUAAUGGUUUACAUCCCUUAAACAUUGGUAAUGUUGCCCUUAGAAGCUGGAAACCUGUGAUUGUUUCUUGCGCUACAAUAUGGAUUUAUCUCAUGGAAAGCACGCAUGGUGAAAGAAAGUGAUCUGUCCUAACCAGGAAGACAACGCUGAGGUAGUACAGGACUAUCCGAAACUUGAUUAAUCAUGAGGCUAAGAUAAAAGAUGCUCACAGUUUAUGUCGGGCCAUCUGUUAAUCUUUUUGAUUGAUUAAUCAUGUGACUGCUGAGUGCUAAUAAAUUAAUUCAAUCAUAUCGGGCCAUCUGUUAUAGAGCUAAACGAACCAUCUGAAGUGGGAUGCAUUGCAUUUUCCCAACAGAAUUUACAGUAGCACCAAGAAGGGUUGUGUCCAUCAUCCUCAUCAUGUCCGAUCUAGGCCGCCGGAGCACCAAGUCGCUGGCCUAUUCUAACAAGUCCAGGCCCUCGAGGCAGCCCUUCUCGCCGUGGAAGGAGACCCCGAUCUGUAGGAACGCCGGGUAUGGUCCCGUAAUUAACAAGAAGACUCUCCUCUGUCCAUACGCAUAACUCCCAUGAAGAAAAAUCUCUAAACUCCAGUCACCACCUUUAUGUCGAUCUAAGCGGUGGAGAGUUUGGUAUGGUGGCAAAUCAAGCAACUGCAGAUGGAGUCAUUCCAUGUUACUGCAUUGAGUUAGCAUACGCGGCAUGGAUGAUAGAUCAAACCCAAGUGAUUUGGAUUCUCAUGUUGGCUGCCUUCUCACAGUCGUGAACAUCCGUGAGUGAAUUUGGUUAUUUAGAACAAAAUCUAAGACUUGACCAAAUGAAAUUGGUAUUUUGUUGAACUGAACGACACACAUAUUGCCUAACCGUAAUUAUGUUACCUAUCACGACCUCAUGUGCUCCUGAAGCAAGCUGAUGUGUGUUGUGUGUACACGUUGUACACUGAAUUGUUCUUGCGAAAAGAUACAGCAGUAGAUACAAUCUACGCCAUGGAGCCGCUGGUGGGGCUUGAUGAGGACGAGUGCUAGAAGGAGGUGUGCAUGAUGCCCAAACGUGGUGUCGAGGCCUUCCACAUCCGCACCCAAGCUGCGUCACUACCAAGCUGCUACAAGCAUAUAGGGCCUUCCGUGUUCAAGCUGAAAAGGCAAGAAGAUCUCAUUAUUAACAUGGAUAAAAAAGGUGGAACGUCUUCUUCAGUAGAAUUACACAAUGGUUGGCUGAAGCUUUGGAGUGCUAAAGUUCCAAGAAAGGUAAAAAUCCAUCUUUGGUGUAUUUAUUUUCAGAGAAUUUAUGUUGGAGAUGAGCUUAAGAGAAGAAAGUAUAUAGAUAUGGUAAGUUGUCCUUACUGCUUCAAGGGGGAAGCAUUUAUCACUGCUUUUGGGGUUGUAUUUAUGUCAGAUUCCUGGAGGAAGCUGUUAGUAAUUUGCGAUUUCUCGUGAUCUAAAAUUGUCGAUCGGAAAUUUUCUUCAUCGAAGCCCAUUCCAAUCGCCAACAAUUCUGUUUGCACACUCAGGUUUGUGCUUUUCUAUGGUGAUUUAUUAAACAUACUUUGGCUUAUGAUCCCCUUUGACGUACACUUGUGCCCUCCACUACACAUUAUGUUCAGUUUGCCAAAUACUGUAGUAGGUAAUGAACUACAGAAAGCGGAUUGUUGAGUUUGCCAAGCAUAAUGGCACACCUAAUUUUGGCAAAUCACCUGAAGAGUAUUUCAAGCAAAGAUGCUUUGAGAUUUUCACAUGACUAUAUGAGGUUACCAUAAACUCCUGUAUUGCCACAAUAGCUUCUUUUAAGGCAAUAGGGAAUUGUCUUUUUUUUUUGUAUCAGGUAAAUAGUUCCUUUCUCACACUUUUUUCAGACCGAGAUCGUGUGCUGCUGCUGUGUGGUGUUCUAUUUCUGCUGUAUUUUUUUUUUUGCUUUUUCGGGGGGCUUCUUCUCAUUCUUCUUUGGCACCUACGCUCUGCUUGGGGAAACUUUGUACAUGGCAAUACAUAGAUUGGAAUUGAGAUUUGGAGCAAUUUUGUUCGUUUUCCUUUGUACUGAUGUUGCCAUUAUUUGUGCGAUGAUGCCAUUAUAUUGUACAAAGGGAAGAGACAGUUAGAGAGAUGGAUAGAAAUUACUAGCUACUGUAUUUGUGUUGUAAUUGUUUAUUAUUAAAGCUUAUUGUUUAUUGGUUGU